RNAcentral lists this ribosomal RNA (170 nucleotides) under uncultured Nitrosomonas sp. RNAcentral's name for it is "partial 16S ribosomal RNA". It matches the Rfam family "Bacterial small subunit ribosomal RNA", at positions 358 to 525 of the family's 1533-position model. The record is from RNAcentral. Lineage: Bacteria; Pseudomonadati; Pseudomonadota; Betaproteobacteria; Nitrosomonadales; Nitrosomonadaceae.
GCGUUAUGGGCUGGGCGCAGCCUGAUCAGCAAUGCCGCGUGAGUGAAGAAGGCCUUCGGGUUGUAAAGCUCUUUCAGUUGAGAAGAAAAAAAUGUGACUAAUAAUCACAAUUGAUGACGGUAUCAACAGAAGAAGCACCGGCUAACUACGUGCCAGCAGCCGCGGUAAUA